UCUAAUUCUGUUUGAUUGAUUCUGCCAAAGGAGAAGGGAAGAAUGAAAGUCUGGGUAAUCCACAAACUAGAAAAUUGGUGUCUGAUGAGAGCCGACGGUAUCUUCUUGGAGGCCAUACAAGGCCAACAGCACUGGCCUACUUUUGUUUUGAAACCUCCCAUCCCGGAGCCACAAUUGCUACCACUUUGGUGGCAGAAGGAAGAUGUUUAUCCUUCACAAAGACAGCAAGCUUUCCAGCCCCUUCUGUAAUCUCCCAGGCCACGAAGGGGCCAGCCACAUGGUGUCGGCAGAUGCAGAGAGGGGCUGGCGAUUCUCAUACCAGGAAUUCCUCCGCUGUCCUUCCAGCAUCAAUUACAGAUCGCCUCCCUUCCUUCCAGCGGCAGAGAACCUGAGGCUUCGCUCCUGACUCCCAGCUUCCCACCCAGGCCUGGCAGCAAUUUGUAACCCCCGCUUACACAGGCUCUCUUACUGUCUGCAUUUUUGUUUGGAAAAUGAGCAAUUUGCUGUCGGUCGCUUGGCUCCUCUGUGAAGUCGGCAGAAAGGACGGCUCACCGAGGGGGACAGAUGGUCAGUGAAAGCAAGAGUCAGACCGUCAAGCUCAUCGCCCAAGCCUUGCCCCCGCCUGGAUCCCGAGCCGUUACGGGAGAACUGUCACACAGAAGAUUCCAGAGGUGACUUGAAAUCUUCGGUUCCUUGCAAUGGGUAGCACAGAUGGCUGUUUAAGGAACCACAUGAAAGAGCCACCGUGAAAGGAUGGUAUGCACAGAAUUCAAAUGUGGGAAUACGAUACAACCGAAAAUGUCUUAAGACACCAGGAAAAUAUUACGCUGUGAUUGUUAAGUGGAAGGAGCAAAGUUUCAGAAGAAUAAAUGAUGUAAAAUUUAUGUAAAAUUAUUAACAUAAUGUAUGUUUUCUAACAUAAUGUAUGUAUGUUUUUAUGUAUGUUUACAUAAAAUGUAUGUAAAAUUAUUAACAUAAUGUAUCACACGGUCAGUACUUAAAGUAUGUAAGUCAUUAUCACUCUUACCUCUCCUUGGAGCCCAGAUCCAAAACCAUUCCCCUUAUCUGAUUGUCCAGACAGAGAUGAUCCCUCCUUACAGCUCCGUAUAGCCAGCCCGACUUUAGCAUGUACGACUAUAUACCUUGGGUUAUUUUCAUUUAUGGUAUGUUUUAAAUGUCACCUGAUAAUAAAUAUUCCUCCUUCUCGUUUUGCUUCAGUUAGGUUGAGUCGACCCUGCAACUUGAAAGCGAAUCUAAAUAAUAAAUUAUGGCAUAGGG
Herpailurus yagouaroundi (jaguarundi) is the source of this 1278-nucleotide long non-coding RNA. RefSeq lists it as uncharacterized. The record is from RefSeq and is a predicted model, not a curated record. The transcript is spliced from 3 exons. NCBI's taxonomy places the organism in Eukaryota, Metazoa, Chordata, Mammalia, Carnivora, Felidae.